UUGCAGCCAAUUAAGCCGACUGUGCUCUUUUCCCCAUGGGGGCCCAGUGUGCAAUGGCUGCAAACAGCAGCCUCCUUGGUAGUGUAUGCAACCUGUUGCCUGUACAGGUAGCCCUAAGGGACCGUGGAGACAACU
This 135-nucleotide small nucleolar RNA is filed under the name Cervus hanglu yarkandensis (Yarkand deer). Its description in RNAcentral is "Small nucleolar RNA SNORA70 (ENSCHYG00000024239.1)". It matches the Rfam family "Small nucleolar RNA SNORA70". From Rfam's summary of the family: snoRNA U70 seems to be exclusive to mammals and is a member of the H/ACA class of snoRNA which contain H (ANANNA) and ACA box motifs. Lineage: Eukaryota; Metazoa; Chordata; Mammalia; Artiodactyla; Cervidae. The record is from Rfam by way of RNAcentral.